AGUGAACGCUGGCGGUAGGCCUAACACAUGCAAGUCGAACGGCAGCACAGUAAGAGCUUGCUCUUACGGGUGGCGAGUGGCGGACGGAUGAGGAAUACAUCGGAAUCUACUUUUUCGUGGGGGAUAACGUAGGGAAACUUACGCUAAUACCGCAUACGACCUACGGGUGAAAGCAGGGGAUCUUCGGACCUUGCGCGAUUGAAUGAGCCGAUGUCGGAUUAGCUAGUUGGCGGGGUAAAGGCCCACCAAGGCGACGAUCCGUAGCUAGUCUGAGAGGAUGAUCAGCCACACUGGAACUGAGACACGGUCCAGACUCCUACGGGAGGCAGCAGUGGGGAAUAUUGGACAAUGGGCGCAAGCCUGAUCCAGCCAUACCGCGUGGGUGAAGAAGGCCUUCGGGUUGUAAAGCCCUUUUGUUGGGAAAGAAAAGCAGCAGGUUAAUACCCCGCUGUUCUGACGGUACCCAAAGAAUAAGCACCGGCUAACUUCGUG
This 492-nucleotide ribosomal RNA is filed under the name uncultured bacterium. RNAcentral describes it as "partial 16S ribosomal RNA". It matches the Rfam family "Bacterial small subunit ribosomal RNA", at positions 29 to 507 of the family's 1533-position model. The record is from RNAcentral.